UCUGGUCGUCAAGAUCUUGGUGUUAUCGAUGCCUUUGGUGAUUUUCUGGAGGAAGAGAAGAUCCAGCAAAGCUGAAGUUCCUGCUGUGGAGAUGGACUACGUCAACGUCACAGAGUCCAAUCGAGUCAUUGAGGUCAGAGAGGACAGACAGAACAGUUCUCCUCCUGUGGAAAUAUCUUCAGUUUACUGCAACGCCAAGAACAGCAAACCAAUCAGAGCUGAAGACAGCUCAGCUUAACCAGCUGUCAUCUGAACAAAACUGAAGACGACUCCAGUAAACUCGAUUACUCUGAGGUGGAUUUUUCCAACGUUGCUGCCUCCUCUCUGAACAGCGCCCCCUGUGGUGACGUAGAUAACGUCCUCUACUCCUCACUUCAGAUGGAUG
Molecule: long non-coding RNA, 385 nt
Organism: Stegastes partitus (bicolor damselfish)
Lineage: Eukaryota; Metazoa; Chordata; Actinopteri; Pomacentridae
Exons: 4
Source: RefSeq, a predicted model, not a curated record